RNAcentral lists this long non-coding RNA (1312 nucleotides) under Helianthus annuus (common sunflower). RNAcentral describes it as "hypothetical non coding rna". The record is from RNAcentral. Lineage: Eukaryota; Viridiplantae; Streptophyta; Magnoliopsida; Asterales; Asteraceae.
UUCACAACGAAAACUUGCAGCAAAACCUCAACAAUUUAUGUAACAAAAUUCUGGUUUUUGACCCUUUUACCCCUGGAUCAAUCCUGCCUUUGAUCCGUUAAACCGCGACCCGAUAAUGCACCGACUCGCGACCCGUGACCCGUGAUCCGAAAAUUUGGUAUCAGAGCCUAGGGCUCGGGAAGCGGGUUUGAAGAUCGGAGGAAGCCUCCGCCGCCGGCGGGUGUGUCGGUCGGUGGAGGGCAGGAGUGAAAGAAGGUGUCGAAGGUUCGAGACGGCAGGUGGCUGUUUUGAGAUCGUUUAACAGCAGAAGACAGACGCAUUAAGGUGUUUCGGUCGGCCGUUUUUGUGGUAGACGUACCGGUUAAGACGACGGGGGUAACCGGUGAUAAACACUUGUGUUCGGUGGCUGUUAGCGAUGUUCAAAGGAAGAACGGGGCUAUUCGGUUGUUAGUUGUUGGUUUGCGCGGCUGGUAUACAACCGGUGAUAACAGUAGAUGGUUAGAACGGUUGCCUUAAUCGGCUUGGUUCGUGAUAAGAGGAGACCGGCGUAGUGCGUGAAAAGCGGGCAGAAUGGAUCCGUCAAAGCAGGUGGCUUUGGAUUCGUCUCGUUUGGCAAGGUGAGAAAACGGAAGAAGCGGAUGGCUUGUUUUCUUUGUCGGUGGAGAGCCUCUUGAACAAAGGUGAUCCGAAAAAGGUAAAGAAUGGAGAAAACACGGUGACAUUAUGGCGUUGGAGUUCAAUCGGGUGGCUUUGGAUGUGACCGGGGAGAGGUCGUUGAUCCGUGAUAAGUCGUGAUGUGAUGUUAGUGAACGGUUUCCAACGUGAUGCCAUACUUUGGACGUGAUCAGUGGAGGUCAGGUGUCCGGGAUAGGUCGUGAUGGUUCGGGAAGAAAAAACGGUGAUUCGGGUGUCGUAAAUGAGUGGCGUAAACAACCGAUUAAGGGGGUGAAUGUUGGGUUAAUCGGGUUCGUUUACGGGUCAUGGGUCGACACGUUAUCGGGUCACGCGGGUCAUGGAGUCAAGCAUCAAGUCGGGUCACGGAUUUGACCGGGUUACGGGUCAAAUAAGCAGCUAAAACCGGUAGAUUGUUGAUUGAAUUAAGUUGUGUGAUGCAAAAGGAAUGGAGUACGUGGGCUCGUUCAAUGCAUGUCGUGUAGAAGAAAAGUCCGGUUCUUUAGGUUUCUGUUAGUUUUUUUAAAAGUCUGCACGUGUGGUAUUUUGUAUGGCUAUAAAUUAGCUUUUGUUUAAUGAAUAUGUAACCCUUCAUGUUCAAAAGCCUUUCAUUUUCUCUCAAUACCCAUUAAACAAAUUU